This 141-nucleotide unclassified non-coding RNA is filed under the name uncultured Ramularia. Its description in RNAcentral is "sequence contains ITS1". Lineage: Eukaryota; Fungi; Ascomycota; Dothideomycetes; Mycosphaerellales; Mycosphaerellaceae. The record is from RNAcentral.
CUGAGUGAGGGAGCGAUCCCGACCUCCAACCCUAUGUGAACCCCUCUCGUUGCUUUGGGGGCGACCCUGCCGUCCGCGGCAUUCCCCCCAGAGGUCAUUCAACACUGCAUCCUUACGUCGGAGCACAAAGUUAAUGAAAUA